AUCUAAAUUUAAAUAAAGUAAAGUGAAUAUCUGAAUAUCGUUGAUGUGUUUAUGUAGUGUAUGGUGUCGGGGAAAGUAUGUAUAUACAUAUUUGGCGUCGCGUUAUUUGUAAAUGUAUGGCUUGGUCGUAUGCAUGUGGCUUUGGUCUAAAUUGUGUCUAUUAGUGCGUUUUGUGAAUAAUAAUGUGUGAAUAUUAAGUGCAUAAAGCCUAUAAAAUAAAAUAGUGCACCAAGAUCAAGAGUAAAAAAGUGCAAAGUGAUUGAAGAUUGCGUGAUUGGGUGGACAUCACAAAUUGCAUAUGAAGCGCAUACCUUGUUUUGCCAAGCUGCCAUAUUGAAAAGUAAUUGGUAUUAUGCAACUUAGUAAUAAUACCGUUAUUAUACAUGGAGUUUGCUUAACACAUAUGCCCCAAUAUUUGGCCAUUUUGCACAAGGCAAAAGCUCAACAAAGGAUUACUUGCUCUUUUAUUGCUAAAUAGACACAAGGGAUUCAAUAGAAACUGUAAUCAUUAGAAAUCAGGGUUGCAAGCAGAUUAAGUAAGGAGACCAAUCCCUGAAAAAAGGUUGUAUGCUGCAACAAAGGUGCCUCAACAGACAAAAUUUUGAACAGCUUUUAUAAAAAACGAGCUGCAAAGAUGACCUGGCGUAAAAACUCUAUUCAGCAUGCUGUAAUUAUGCUCGUUCAAUCGUGUCAGAUUUUAUUUCAAUAUAAUUAAAAAUACUUGAUUACACUUUUUCGGCUGAACACCAUGUAAAGU
This is a long non-coding RNA of Bactrocera tryoni, 757 nucleotides long. RefSeq lists it as uncharacterized. The record is from RefSeq and is a predicted model, not a curated record. The transcript is spliced from 4 exons. Lineage: Eukaryota; Metazoa; Arthropoda; Insecta; Diptera; Tephritidae.